Molecule: unclassified non-coding RNA, 332 nt
Filed under: soil metagenome
Description: partial contains 5.8S ribosomal RNA, internal transcribed spacer 2, and large subunit ribosomal RNA
Rfam family: 5.8S ribosomal RNA (bases 1-120)
Source: RNAcentral
GAUGAAGAACGCAGCAAAAUGCGAUAAGUAAUGUGAAUUGCAGAAUUCAGUGAAUCAUCGAAUCUUUGAACGCACAUUGCGCCCGCCAGUAUUCUGGCGGGCAUGCCUGUUCGAGCGUCAUUUCAACCCUCAAGCACAGCUUGGUGUUGGGACUCGCGUUAAUUCGCGUUCCUCAAAUUGAUUGGCGGUCACGUCGAGCUUCCAUAGCGUAGUAGUAAAACCCUCGUUACUGGUAAUCGUCGCGGCCACGCCGUUAAACCCCAACUUCUGAAUGUUGACCUCGGAUCAGGUGGGAAUACCCGCUGAACUUAAGCAUAUCAAUAAGCGGAGGA